CUGGGGUUCAGAGAUGUACAAGGUCACAUGAUUGCCACUGCCUCCAUUUCUACUAGGGUACUUGCACUCAUUUUUAAUUUCAACAGAUCGUGCAGAAUUGCGGGGGAAUGCACAUCAAGGACUUAUUGCCUGCAUGUUCAGCCAGCCUAGAGUCUCAGUGCUUGGAGGUGGCAAGCAGUAAUCAGUAAUCUAAAGGGCAGACACUACCCAGGCGCCCUUGUUCCCCAAGCUGUGGGCUCUGAGAAUGCAGGUCAUUUCUUUAUCAGCAAGUCCACAUGGGUGCCUGCUGGGUGCCGUGCAGUAUUCUGGGCAGAGGGAGCACUGCAUGGAAGAUCCCCAUGAAGUGUGUUUAACAAAAACAUCUGAAGGCGUGGGAGCAACAGACCCAAGGGAGCCGUACUGCAUGUUGAUCCAGUACUGACAGGGAUAACGAUGCAGUGGAAAACCACAGACGACAACUGCAGGCAGCCCAGUCAUGCCUGCGGAAGCACCAGCCCAGCUUUUCUCCUGAUACCAUCUACACUGUUGCUGCCAUCCGUUCUAGAACGCUGCCACUCUUCCCUGUGUAAGUUAAGCAGAAGAAAAGGAGGGGGGACUGUCUCCAAUCUCCCCAAGCCCACCCCCCCAUCAGUCGUUCCCCCAAGUGCAGUUAAGCUGUGGCCUUGAAUUUACAUUUGUC
RNAcentral lists this long non-coding RNA (679 nucleotides) under Chinchilla lanigera (long-tailed chinchilla). RNAcentral describes it as "lncRNA (ENSCLAG00000024643.1)". The record is from RNAcentral. Lineage: Eukaryota; Metazoa; Chordata; Mammalia; Rodentia; Chinchillidae.